CGGCCUGGACCACGUGCAAAGGCAAACGUCGGGGGGACCUUUGUAACUGUCCCCGUCGCAGCUCGCUGCCUUUCCGCGGCGUCUGCCUGAACCCCGCGUUCGUGUCCUCCCGGGACUAUUCACUUAAAAGACCAGCCAUCUCGAGCCGCCUUUUAAAGGGUCUAGGAGCGCAUUAACCACAGUUUUGAAUGUUCCCGAACUCGAAUAAUUACAAGCUAAAAAUGGUGGGUUUUAACCGCACAAAAUAAGACAACGGAAACUGUUACUCGGAGCGUAAAGGAGAUUUGAACGAACCCCUAUUGUUUUCUUAAACAAACAAUAUUACAUUUCUGUUUCACUAAAAUCUCCCAGGCAGCGCUGUAAUGGAAAGGAAGGGAAAGAUAAUGUGUGCGCUCAUAGUUUGGUUGACAUUGCUUUGAUCGUAAUAUUCUUGGCAGAUCUCGUUUUCCUCUAAUUUUCGGGGUUAUGGGUCCUUCUCCCACAAAGGAUGUAAAGUGCUUGUUCCCCGGGAGGGUCCGCUGUCUGGUCUCCUCUGCACGGUCGUCCCUCCGACCCAGGCAUCAAUAUCCCAGGAGAUCUUUGUCCUGAAAAUCGCAGUUGCCUAAGUUCCCGCCUGCGUCCUACCGAUGCGGUCAACGAUGGAAAAACCUCACCUUAGAGAGCCCAGUCCCGCCGAGAAACUCAGGGUCAAAAAUAAUGUUAUUUGCAGACUGGACGCUGUUACGAUCCUCCGGGUGCCAGAAUACAGCUCAUAAAACACAAUUUCACACAAAAAUGAAGCCAAUCAAGUGAACUAAGCUGGAGACCUCCCCCUCACUUUGGCAGCCCUACCGGACAGCAGGGCUGCUAUUUACUGAGGAGAAAUGGAGUAAAGGGAACGGAUGACUAGGGAACCUCAGAAGCUUUAGGCUCCAGGAAGGAAGAUAAUCCAGCAAACCUGCAUCUCUUGAGAGAACUGGAGACUGAAUUUCUCUUUUGAGCUGAAUUUUGGAGGCCAAGAUCCCUUAAAAAAGGUUGACAGUGCCAGACAGGCGCUGCUGCACAGGCACUUCUCUGAUUCAAUCCCACCAGAAAGGCCUCGCUCAAGAUCAGAUGGAAAUGGACAGAGCGGAGCUGGGGUCCCGGGAGCUCUACUGCGUGGAGAGAGAGAGCUGCCGGCGCGCCCCAGCUGCUCACUUUGCCCAGGUUUGCUCCGCGCAGCUGGCACGCCAGCACCCUGCCCUUAGCGCGCUCUUUGCCCACGCACACCCUCCGCACCCUCCAAGCUUCCCGCCGCCUUCUUGCUCCCUUCAAACCUCGGUCCUUCUGCGGUUCUUUUCCAGCCCCGCGGCCGCCAAGUCUAGAACACAGCGCUUCUGAAAUCUGAAGCCCCUUUACCCGAGAUUUGCCGCGUGGUUGGCCCUCGGUCGCCCCAGGAAUAGGGGGAGGCGUCCCGCACUGUGUCCGCUGAGAUCGCGCAAAGAAAUGGCUGCGCGAGGUUUGGAUUGAACAAAAAAACUGGGUGAAGCCAGUUUCCAGUUAAGCUCUACGCGGCGAGAAACGUUGUCUUUCGGCAGCCCCCACCCCUUCCAGUUGGGAAACGCCCCCAGCAACUCCGCGGAGGAUCGCGAGCGCGUCCUCAAGCCCCUGAAGACUGGCUCUGUGUCACCGUGACCUCCGCUACCGCCCCCACCCUGUAGAGCGCCAGAGACAUUCAAGAAGCAGCAAAAGGGGGGAAAAGCAGAAAUCAGUAAUCCUGUCUGGAGACUGAACGAGACUAUGUUUUAGAGCCGACGAAGCGCGGUUUAAUUUCUAAGACAAACACACACCCCUCUUCCUUCGCACCCAAUAAAGGUGCGCACACACACACACACACACACACACGAAAAACACGCCGGCCCAAGAAAAAGGAUAGAGAAAAAUGGGAAGGGAGCUGGCAUAGGACUCACCUGCCUCUAGAGUGGUGCCGUUCAGCAUUCUUAGAGCAAAAGGUGAUCACGCCUUUCCGGUGGCUGUCCUGGAAGAGAAAGCCUUCCUUCAGCACGGCUGGCUGUUUGGUCCGAGGGCCCCAAGCGCCUCCUACCACCCGGUGGGGCGUGUCGGAACCGCUCUCCCCGCCGCAACCUCAGCUACCCAGUGGCUUCCAGGGAUGCUCGCCGCGCCAGCCUCGGGUAGGUGUCCGAGGCGCUCCUGGUGCGCACGGCCGUCUGGCCACACUACCGGGGUAGAAAACCACUCGGACAAGAAAAUCCAUAUCGGGAUCUUACCUUGAGGUUCAGAUGCCCCCCUCAAUAACCCGGUCCUGGGCAACGGAGAACCGGAGGCGGCAGCCAGAGGAGCGGACCGGUCCCCAGGUUUCGCCAAGGGGUUCUCUGUUAAUCCAAAUAAAUAAGCCUUGAAAAUCUCUCUCUCUCUCUC
Molecule: long non-coding RNA, 2397 nt
Organism: Talpa occidentalis (Iberian mole)
Lineage: Eukaryota; Metazoa; Chordata; Mammalia; Eulipotyphla; Talpidae
Exons: 4
Source: RefSeq, a predicted model, not a curated record